This is an RNA transcript of Cimex lectularius (bed bug), 1850 nucleotides long. RefSeq lists it as uncharacterized. The transcript is spliced from 4 exons. NCBI's taxonomy places the organism in Eukaryota, Metazoa, Arthropoda, Insecta, Hemiptera, Cimicidae. The record is from RefSeq and is a predicted model, not a curated record.
AAUAUUGAUACGGUCAUAGGUUAUCUGCAUAAUACGUGUAGAGUGUGAUGCAGAAAUGAAGAAAUAUAGGGAUAGAGUACAUGACUGCACUCGGAGCCCAAGUUCGGUGGUUGGACGGUUAAGAGCGAGAACUGACUCCAGCUGACUUCUAACACCCGAGCCGUAUUUACUUCAUAUUUGGGACCUCAUUUACUUCACUAUCGUACUCCUCAGUACGUUCUACCCUUUCUGACAUCACGCCCUUUUUUCCCCCCAUUGCACACCAAGCACGGUGGAACGUAGAAGAGAGCGACCGACAUCGAAGGAGGAGAAUUAUGGACCGAGAAAUAGAGCAUAUCUGGUUAUGUACAACUGCUUGAAGAAAGGCGCAGCACAGAAGAAAUACAUGUCAAUAGAAGUAAAAAAGUUUAAUUUAAACUUUUGUUUUUAAUAAAAUAUUAUAUAUAUUGAACAAACUAGACCAAUUCUAAACAGCAUUUGUUACUUACAUAUCGCGAAAAUAUGUAUUGAAUUUCUAUUGGAUCAAAAAGAUCGGGAAGUUGUGGACAAACCGUUGGAGAUGGUCUUACGAUUGGUUACACAGAUCGUUAAUUCAAACAACAAAGCGCUUAAUAAUUUAUAAACAAAUAAAAUGGGUGUUGAUGGGUUAGUUGCCUUCCUCUUCCUGCUUAUAACAUUGAUGGCCAAAAGCCAAAACGUGUUUGUUUGACCAUACCAAGCGACGACCAUACUUUAGCUUGUUCAAAUUGAUUGAAUUAGUCACAAAAUAUUUUAAUGAUCACGUUUUGCACUAGUACGCUAUUUUCUUUCUCGCCCGACGGCGUAAAAGGUAAUAAGUUACUUAAGUGAAGUAAUACUGGCAAAUUUUGAUUUAUAUUCGUACAGGUGUACUAACAUAACUUGCUUAUCCCCGUUUAUACUCGGCCAGAGAUUUAUUUCAACUCGUUCUUUUGGGUUGGGCAAGCAAUUGAAAACGCCUUGCAACUUGUGUCUCAAAUCGUUUUGAGAAAUGCCAGAAAUAAUUUAGCCGGUUCGCCGUGCGUCUCGGGGUCGGGCUUUUUAUUCAAAUGAAGGAGUGCUCGGCCUAAUAGAGGAGGAACAUGAAAUAUAGAGUUGUUGACUGAACCUGAAUCAUAUUAGAGGGGUUAUUAGACCUGGGCCGCCCAUCCCACCUGAAAUUAACACUUGGCACGUGCCUAAACAAACACUGCCUCGGGCCACACUAAUCAGCCUUUUUUGGGCUCAGGACCACUAUUCCUACUCAAACUAACACGCCCUUAUCUCUUGUCUCGUUUGCCUAAAUAAAUCACUUAAACUACUAUCAACGGAAAAAAUUUGAAUAAGAGCUAGGAUCCAAUAAACAAGAUUUUGUUUUAAGAAAUGUGAGUUAGACUGAACUUAAGAUCCGAUUGAUUGCCCAUGUAAUAAAUCGUCCUACGUCAAGAUUGUUCAAUACAGGGUUUCCAGAAUUGUAUCAUGAUACCUUUUUAAGGGUAUAAAAUUAGGGAUGUUUCAAAAAUAAUAAUACGAGUAUGUAACAUGAUUUUAACUUUUAUGUUUUAUGUCUCUAACCAUACUAUUCAUACCGACUUAAAUAUCCCAUUCGUUUCUGACUUUGCCUAAUUUCGUUACCAAAAUUUUUAGUCUAAAUUACCCAAUCACUCAAACCCCUUAAUCCGUGAAUUGUCAUCCUCAACGUUACCCGCCAAUCCUCGUUGGAGUAUCCCAUCACUGGAUGGAUGCCGUUCACGCCCUUUUGUAUGUUCGUGCAUACAACUUUGUAUGCAGGUUCACACAACAUAAUAAAAUUUAAAAUAUUUUUGCUUGUGGUAUAUUUAAAGUGCAGUUGU